Long non-coding RNA from Nicotiana tabacum (common tobacco), 1672 nucleotides. RefSeq lists it as uncharacterized. The record is from RefSeq and is a predicted model, not a curated record. Lineage: Eukaryota; Viridiplantae; Streptophyta; Magnoliopsida; Solanales; Solanaceae.
CUUCAAGUUUCAAUUACAGUGCCACUCAAGGCAGAGAAAAAAUCAACAAAGGAGAAGAAGUUUACCAGUGAAGAUGAUCUGAAGGACAAGGAGUGGUUUGUAUAGCAGGUCGUGGUUAGAAACGAACUUGGAGCAAAAAAACAAGUAAAAUUGUUGAUUUGUGCCGUGGCUGAUAUUCGAAGGUCUAUUCCAUCAAUGCUUGAUUGAAACUGGAUCGAAGGAAGAUUUUGUUUUGUGCCUUUAAGGGGAACUUUGUUAAUUUGUACUAACAUAUUGUGUAGUAAAAAUGGCUUUUUUCAAACGGUACUAAUAAAUUUGUGAGAAUCAGAAUAUGACCAAUCAUCCAAGAUUGCAUUUUCUUAUGAAUGCUUUCCUCAAUAGCUAUUUUCUAAUAGAUACAUAUGUUUCCUUAUGACUUGAAUGUAUGAAUAUUCAGUGGAUUUACAUGUUAAUAAAAUAAUAACAUUUGCAAGCUCCUUUAUGUCUACCAUAUUUUUCAAGUAACAUUUCUUAUGAAAAAAUUAUAUUUAAUAUUCUCGCGAGUACAGAUACUAGUAAAGAGGAGAGAGAGAAACGAGAAGAACAAAUAUCUAAGAGAGAAAAUGAAUUCUUAUUUCUUAUUAUGUCUGGAAUGUUCUAUCAUCAGUGUAUAUACAAAUUAAUGAAUGACUAAAAGCAAACUGUGCCGGGUAUACAAGGUGGCCCAGACCAAGUAGAAAACAAUGAGACCCAAUAAUUCCUUAGCUGUUAUCAAGGGUAGCAUAUUUGAGCGCAUAAUUUAAAAAACGUAAUGGGUAUUUGAACGCAUAAUUUAAAAAAUGUAAUGGGUUCAACGCUAAAAUUAAUAAGUUUGAAUUAGACCAAUAUACUUAUUUUGGAUUAGAUGAUAAAAAUAUUCAUAGAUUUUGUAUGUCUUGAAUUUGAACUGAUACUAUGAAUGAACACAGAGUAUUGAUUAUAUGGAUCCAAUAUCUGGUUCACGAGUUCCAUUUUCACCCAAACUAUACAUAUAUCAGGCCAAAAUUUUACAUCAGAAAAAACCUGAAAUUUUCAAAAGUUCUAUUACCAUUUCAGAUCAGAAUCCAUACAGUUUCAUUCCCUAUCUUAUUAAUCAUAUUCAAACCAAAAAAAACACAUAAAUAAAUUGAAAUACAUUUUGACAAGAACUUGCAAUCAUAUCAAAAUGUUUUGUAUCAGUUGCUAGUACAAAGUGAUUCCAAUUUUCUGAAUUCAAAUUGGAAAGUAAUAAGUCUAGCUAACAAGUGUAGUUGUAAUUUAAGCUAUGAGACGAGAGGGUAAUCAAUGAUUAAGCAACAUAACUAAGCUAUUUUUAAGCAGGUCAACUUACACAAACGAGAUCACACAAAUCAAAUCCAGAUCCAUAAAACAAAAGCAAAAUCUAAAAUAAAAGGCAAAUAUCUCUGUUUUUUCCAAAUAUAAACGCUAUACAUUCAACAUACUUGUAUUACUCUACGAACCGACCCGCCGGAAUUGCGUGUUGCCGCCGUGUAAGGAUUUGGAGGCAGAAGGUGGCGAUGGAGGUAAAAAAUGUUUCCGGUUCGUCGACUCAUCUGCGACCGGUCCAAAUCGGGGCCGGUUCAUAGCGGCGCCGCCGUGUUAGGCGGUGAAGUAGAAGAUAGGUUGAAGAAGGAGGUGUAGGAAGAUAAAGCCA